RNAcentral lists this unclassified non-coding RNA (3285 nucleotides) under Hevea brasiliensis (rubber tree). Lineage: Eukaryota; Viridiplantae; Streptophyta; Magnoliopsida; Malpighiales; Euphorbiaceae. The record is from RNAcentral.
UUCUUCUUCUUUACGGUUAGUAUUACAUUUCUCUUUCAUAAUCUUUAAUUAAAAACAGAACAAAACGACACUACCACUGGAUUUAUUUUAUUAAUAUUUUUUAAUUCCCUGCCAAAUUUCAAGUUCUGAAGAUAUUUGACGAAUUGCCUCUUGCGAGCGAAGCGUGGCGAUAAUUUUAGUAGAGAACUAAUUUUAAAAGAGCACUAAAAUAAUGGGGUUGAAAGUUGAAACAACUCAUAGGCCAUAGCAUUGCCAAACCUUGAGUUAGAAGGGAAAAGUAGGACUUUUCUAGGGUGCGAAAGCGACCAAUGUGAGCAAAACCAAAUUAAUCAUUACUUGUAGAGGUAUUGCAAUCUGUGGCUGCUAAAUCAAACAUUGGCUUUGGCCAUACGAAACAUUAAGAAAAGGAGACACGCACCUGGCCAGGAAGAACAUGAAGUUGCGGUGGGUUGAUCUUGGCAAAAACAAACAAACUCAUUUGUAGUCCUAUUAAAUCCACAACUCCCACCAGAAUCAAUGCACCUAUUGCAUUGAUCAUUACUUAUUUGCCACUGCAAUCCAAACCCCUCCUUUAGUGCAUCAUUAAUUGUUAUUCUAUUGUUGUCUAAGGCCUGAGCACUUGUUUCCGGAAUGGGGACAAUGACACUGCUAUUGCACGGAUUGAAUGGCAAAUCUCCAGUGACGGAGAAAACGUUGAUGUUUGUUCCGUUUACGAAGCAAUCAGGUUGACGAAGAAUUUCUGAGAACGGAGCUUUGGGCGUAGAAGAGCAACCAUAGAGUAAGGUCACGUUCCUGAGGUCUGGGGCAUAUCUGAAGACAGCGUAAUCUAGGGAGUUGUUAUAGAAGUGAUCAGGACAAAUACUGGAGUAAAAAUCUUCCCUGGCUACUCUAAGGACUUGAUUUUCAGGGCUGAUGUCAAGAAUUCUGAAGGUAUUAGAUGCCGCUUUGAUCAUUGGCACAUUGUCUUGGCACUUGAGCUCAAACUCUGGUUGACCACAGUAACCUGCUCGGUUUAUACCCCAGAAAGGAUAACCAAUAUUUUGAAUGUUUCCACAUUCAAAUGCCUGAUUGCAGUUAGCAUAUCUAUAAUCAUCAGCACAAAAGGAUGUCUGAAUGUUGGUUGAGAUGAGAAAAAUGAGGAAAAGGAAAAGAAAGGUAUUGGUUUGCAUAGUUAGCGAGAGGAAAAGGGCUUGAAGGCCUGGUACAUAAAGGAUACUAGGAAAGGGAUGAUUGGAAAUUGCAAAUCAAAUGAAUUCCAUUUCUUGUCUGCAUGAAUAACCAGACAUCAACAAGUGAUCAUUAUGAAAUUUUAGUUCUGAUUAUGUCAAAAUGGGAGCUUUUGAAUCCUGUUUUGGAAUUUCUGCUCGUUAUUAACUAAAAGAGACUGGAAAGAGUCAAACUAUGAGCAACUCAGCAAAAACAACCAAGAAAAAUCCUCUGUUGAGCACAUGGCAAAGAAAUGCUAAUGUCAGUAUCUUUAGUAGCUAACAAACGUGAUAAUGGGACAAAGUAAAGACCAUAUCCUCUGGUGUAAUAUUCUAGGACUAAUAAGUUCCGAGCGCAAAAGUUAAAAAAAUGACCGUAAUAUUAGAAGUCAAAAAUGAAAAUUUAGCCAGAAUCACCAAAUCCAGGACACAGGGAGCAACCAAACAUCCUAGUUGGAGUGUAAAAAUAGAUAUCAAUAAAUAAAAAAAAAAGUGCAUGACUAUUGAUUCUGCAUCCUACAACUUUCAACUAUUUAACUUGCAUAAUUUUGAAUUUUUAUAAUUCAAAGGUAGGAAAUAGAAGAGUUACUCAACUUUUAUGUUAUAAUAUAAUAUAAUAGUCUUUUUUAGAUGUUCUUGAUUAAACAUGUUACUUGACCUUAGCUAUGGGUAUUAUACUGUGUUAAAGGUCAUUGCCAUUGGAUAAUUUUCCCCAGUCAGCAACAAGUAAAAUGCUUGAUGCCAGAAACACAAAUUUCUGUGCUGUGAUAGAAAUUGACAAAAAUCUGCUACCAAAAUUUCUUUUGACUACUUGGUAAGAUAGCGACACCAUUGAAAACAAUUGAACAACUAUAAUUUAGUAAUGGAGGGGUGGCCAUUAAUUGCCUCUACCAUACGUAAGCCUAAAUAUUCCUUGUUAAUUCAGUCUAGUUUCAGAGUUUGAUUCUCUAUAAUAGUCUCAAUAAAAUAAAUAAAGAAAACUGGAAAGUAACUAAUGAAGUGUGCUAAUAGAUGAAUACCUGGAAUAGCAGGAACAAUAUCCGGCGAAGAAGUGCAUGUUUUUGUUGGUAUAAAUUGACCGAGACAAUAGCAAGUUGUUUCUUUAGACAAGUGAUCAUAACCACAAACUCCUUUGGACCCGAUGCAAUUGGUACAUGUUGUGUCAUCCACUUUCCAUUUCACCUGGAAUCCUUGUUUUAAGCUUCCUUCUAAACUUGACAAACUGAUUAUUGCCGUUGCCAAAUUCAAUUCAGAAACAGGCACAAAGACACUGCGAUAACAAUAUCCAGGGCCAACAGCAUCCGGUAACACAUAACCUUCUGGAGACGCAGAUCCACUUAUGCGGCAAUUGAAUAGUGCUGGUACUACAGUUAUCGGGCAACCAUAAAUAAUUGUAAGGUUCUUGUAACCGGGAACAUAUUCAAAAAGCUGAGGAUCAAGCGUGGUGUUCUUUAAUUGAGGUUGACAGAGUCCAUCCAUGUAAUCCUCUCUUGCAAUUCUCAGAGUUUGACUUUGCUCAUCGAUUUCCAAAACACGGUACGUUUCAUCUUUGAUCUCAAUUGUGGGGGUAUCAUUCUUACACUUGAGCUUCAAGCCUGGAAUUCCACAGACAUCUGGUCUGUCUUUCCCCCAGAAAGGAAAACCAGCGGCAAUACUGCCACAGACGAACUGAGAGGUAUUGCAGGAAGCGUAGAAGUCAGGGUUGCUUAAACAACAAGGAAUUCUAGUAGCAAACAAGAACACAAAAAUUGGAAGCCACAGAAAUGGAGGGAAUGGGAAAAGUGAAAAAUUCAUUUCAGGCCUGGAAUGAAAAUAGAGAUGACUGAGCUAGAGUUUGGUUUUUUCAGCUUUUCAGGAGCUACAGAAAUGGUACAUUUGAACGGGAAUUAAAGUAAUAAAAUUGACAGAAACUGGAAGAAAAGAAUCCAAAGAUAUCUGAGACUUGAGAUUAUUGAAUGCCUUAAUUUUUUUUUUUGGUUUGGCACAGGAUUAUUGAAUGCUGUUGUUGACUUAAAAUACGUGUAAGCAUAUUUCCACUCGCGUUUCAUAGUCAUGGGACAGGAAUAGUUUAUUAUAUUUU